RNAcentral lists this long non-coding RNA (236 nucleotides) under Capsicum annuum. RNAcentral's name for it is "long non-coding RNA (CANN_LNC011432)". The record is from RNAcentral. Lineage: Eukaryota; Viridiplantae; Streptophyta; Magnoliopsida; Solanales; Solanaceae.
AAUGAUGGUUUGGGCUUAAAAUUGGUCUUGGAUAAUUGUGUUCCCUCACCCCAUUUGUGUAAAUGGCUUUAAAUAGUAAAAUGAUCACUUGUCUUGACUUACUCACCAAUGUUGUUGCAUUGGUGGUUAAACAAUGAGCAUGCAUUUUGAAAGCUUUUUUGGCUAUGUUUUGAUUUAAUUAACAAAGGGGGUCAAGGCAUUUCCCCAACUAACUGCAAUUGUAAUGGAAUAAUUAU